This 497-nucleotide ribosomal RNA is filed under the name uncultured bacterium. RNAcentral describes it as "partial 16S ribosomal RNA". It matches the Rfam family "Bacterial small subunit ribosomal RNA", at positions 28 to 507 of the family's 1533-position model. The record is from RNAcentral.
GACGAACGCUGGCGGCGUGCCUAAUACAUGCAAGUAGAACGCUGAAGAGAGGAGCUUACUCUUCUUGGAUGAGUUGCGGACGGGUGAGUAACGCGUAGGUAACCUGCCUUGUAGCGGGGGAUAACUAUUGGAAACGAGAGCUAAUACCGCAUAACAAUGGAUGACACAUGGCAUUUAUUUGAAAGGGGCAAUUGCUCCACUACAAGAUGGACCUGCGUUGGAUUAGCUAGUAGGUGAGGGAAAGGCUCACCUAGGCGACGAUACAUAGCCGACCCGGGAGGGUGGUCCGCCCACCUUGGACCUGAGCACCGCCCCGGCCCCUACCGGAGGCCGCAGUAGGGGAUCUUCGGCAAUGGGGCCAACGCUGACCGGGCAACCGCGCGUUAGUGGAGGAGGGUCUUCGAUCGUAAAGCUUCGUUGUUUGUCAAGAACGGGUGGUAUAGUGGACAGUUCACACUGUGACGGUAGCUUACCAGAAAGGGACGGCUAACUACGUG